CUCUUCACAGGACGAGUCCCCCCCCCUCAAAUGGAGCCCGAGGAGGGUCUGAACGGGCCCCCCCGAGGCCCCCCCUCCCUCCCCAUCAUCGGCGCCGAGGACGAGGACUUCGAGAACGACAUCGACCCCACCCCCGAGGAGAAAAGCCCCGAAUUCCAGAGCCU
Neopelma chrysocephalum (saffron-crested tyrant-manakin) is the source of this 164-nucleotide long non-coding RNA. RefSeq lists it as uncharacterized. Lineage: Eukaryota; Metazoa; Chordata; Aves; Passeriformes; Pipridae. The transcript has 3 exons. The record is from RefSeq and is a predicted model, not a curated record.